Molecule: ribosomal RNA, 277 nt
Filed under: uncultured Eubacteriales bacterium
Lineage: Bacteria; Bacillati; Bacillota; Clostridia; Eubacteriales
Description: uncultured Clostridiales bacterium partial 16S ribosomal RNA
Rfam family: Bacterial small subunit ribosomal RNA
Source: RNAcentral
CACUUCAUAAAGUUUACUUUAAGAAGUGACUUAGUGGCGGACGGGUGAGUAACGCGUGGGUAACCUGCCUCACACUGGGGGAUAACAGUUAGAAAUAGCUGCUAAUACCGCAUAAGCGCACAGUACCGCAUGGUACAGUGUGAAAAACUCCGGUGGUAUAAGAUGGACCCGCGUCUGAUUAGCCAGUUGGCAGGGUAACGGCCUACCAAAGCGACGAUCAGUAGCCGGCCUGAGAGGGUGAACGGCCACAUUGGGACUGAGAUACGGCCCAGACUCC